AGCAAAAUAUACCGAAUAUUCAAA
This 24-nucleotide non-coding RNA is filed under the name Arabidopsis thaliana (thale cress). The record is from RNAcentral. Lineage: Eukaryota; Viridiplantae; Streptophyta; Magnoliopsida; Brassicales; Brassicaceae.